CUACGGGGGGCAGCAGUGGGGAAUAUUGCACAAUGGGCGCAAGCCUGAUGCAGCCAUGCCGCGUGUAUGAAGAAGGCCUUCGGGUUGUAAAGUACUUUCAGCGGGGAGGAAGGGAGUAAAGUUAAUACCUUUGCUCAUUGACGUUACCCGCAGAAGAAGCACCGGCUAAAUCCGUGCCAGCAGCCGCGGUAAUACGGAGGGUGCAAGCGUUAAUCGGAAUUACUGGGCGUAAAGCGCACGCAGGCGGUUUGUUAAGUCAGAUGUGAAAUCCCCGGGCUCAACCUGGGAACUGCAUCUGAUACUGGCAAGCUUGAGUCUCGUAGAGGGGGGUAGAAUUCCAGGUGUAGCGGUGAAAUGCGUAGAGAUCUGGAGGAAUACCGGUGGCGAAGGCGGCCCCCUGGACGAAGACUGACGCUCAGGUGCGAAGGCGUGGGGAGCAAACAGGAUUAGAUACCCCGGUAGUC
Molecule: ribosomal RNA, 464 nt
Filed under: uncultured bacterium
Lineage: Bacteria
Description: partial 16S ribosomal RNA
Rfam family: Bacterial small subunit ribosomal RNA
Source: RNAcentral